CUGAUUCCCAUGUGCUUGUUGGCUUCUUUGUGUCCUGCUUUAUGCUGCCAACAGCCAUUUUCAAAAGGCCUGAGGAAACUGGUGCCACAGGAUUCGUCCCGGAGACAGUGCAGAGGUAAAUAAAACCUUGCUUGAUGGGACCGGGAUAACCCCCACCGGUCCAGAGAGUAGGUGGGAUCGGGGGUACAGGGCUCUGGUGUCCACAGGGCGGUGUGUAGUCUCAGAUGUGGAGAUUGCCCGCUUCUCCCACCAAAAGCCCACACUAAGGCGCAACAAGUGCGGUUGGAC
Pelobates cultripes (western spadefoot toad) is the source of this 288-nucleotide non-coding RNA. The record is from the annotation of a GenBank genome assembly. Lineage: Eukaryota; Metazoa; Chordata; Amphibia; Anura; Pelobatidae.